CCAUAAUAGAGUUUAUGCUUCUGAUCCACAAGGCAAUACUUGACAAGUUUUUAGGAGGCAACAACGGUAAGGAAUUUCUUGCAAACAUAGCCUGUUUGGACUAAAGCAAUGAUAUCUGUUUGUUGUUUUAGGACCUCCUGCCCUGCCUCCUGAUCCGAUGAAUGAUGGUAAGAUAGACUUGAACUAGAAUCUUUUCUAUUUUGUUGUUUUAUAACCUGACGGAGGCAUCCCUGAAAAUAUUACCAGCUCAAUCACACGCGCAAGCAGCCGCGCAUCAGC
Molecule: long non-coding RNA, 279 nt
Filed under: Setaria italica (foxtail millet)
Lineage: Eukaryota; Viridiplantae; Streptophyta; Magnoliopsida; Poales; Poaceae
Description: long non-coding RNA (SITA_LNC006356)
Source: RNAcentral